UACGUAGGGGGCGAGCGUUGUCCGGAAUUAUGGGGCGUAAAGAGCUCGUAGGCGGUCUGUCGCGUCGAUCGUGAAAACUUGGGGCUUAACCCUGAGCUUGCGGUCGAUACGGGCAUGACUGGAGUUCGGCAGGGGAGACUGGAAUUCCUGGUGUAGCGGUGAAAUGCGUAGAUAUCAGGAGGAACACCGGUGGCGAAGGCGGGUCUCUGGGCCGAUACUGACGCUGAGGAGCGAAAGCGUGGGGAGCGAACAGG
This 254-nucleotide ribosomal RNA is filed under the name uncultured bacterium. Its description in RNAcentral is "partial 16S ribosomal RNA". It matches the Rfam family "Bacterial small subunit ribosomal RNA", at positions 524 to 776 of the family's 1533-position model. The record is from RNAcentral.